AAAUCCGAGUGUCCGCAAGAAGAACCUGAAGGUCCGCUUGGUACCUCUCCAAAUGGUUGAGAUGGAACGGACCUUGUGAACCAUGGCAGAUCACAAAUCACUAAUUCUUUCUUGAGAUCAGGAGGGGUCUUAUUGUUAUAACAGUUUCCACUGGCUUGAAUUGUAUUGUUAUAAAUAAAUAUAAUGUUAAGCUACUACUAAA
Molecule: long non-coding RNA, 202 nt
Organism: Homalodisca vitripennis (glassy-winged sharpshooter)
Lineage: Eukaryota; Metazoa; Arthropoda; Insecta; Hemiptera; Cicadellidae
Exons: 2
Source: RefSeq, a predicted model, not a curated record